RNAcentral lists this ribosomal RNA (598 nucleotides) under uncultured archaeon. RNAcentral's name for it is "bacterial SSU rRNA". It matches the Rfam family "Archaeal small subunit ribosomal RNA", at positions 1 to 598 of the family's 1478-position model. The record is from RNAcentral.
UCCGGUUGAUCCUGCCGGAGGCCACUGCUAUGGGGGUCCGACUAAGCCAUGCGAGUCAUGGGGCGCCUUGCGCGCACCGGCGGACGGCUCAGUAACACGUCGGUAACCUACCCUCGGGAGGGGGAUAACCCCGGGAAACUGGGGCUAAUCCCCCGUAGGCCUGAGGUACUGGAAGGUCCUCAGGCCGAAAGGGUCUUUGACCGCCCGAGGAUGGGCCGGCGGCCGAUUAGGUAGUUGGUGGGGUAACGGCCCACCAAGCCGAAGAUCGGUACGGGCCAUGAGAGUGGGAGCCCGGAGAUGGACACUGAGACACGGGUCCAGGCCCUACGGGGCGCAGCAGGCGCGAAACCUCCGCAAUGCUCGAAAGAGCGACGGGGGGACCCCCAGUGCCGUGGCAUCGCCACGGCUUUUCCGGAGUGUAAAGAGCUCCGGGAAUAAGGGCUGGGCAAGGCCGGUGGCAGCCGCCGCGGUAAUACCGGCGGCCCGAGUGGUGGCCGCUAUUAUUGGGCCUAAAGCGUCCGUAGCCGGGCCAGUAAGUCCCUGGCGAAAUCCCACGGCUCAACCGUGGGGCUUGCUGGGGAUACUGCUGGCCUUGGGA